GCGAAAUGAUGAUAAGAAAUCAUGUCUGUCAAUCCACUGAUAUACUUGUGAUGUAUUCAUGUAUCCCGACAGGUUCUGAUCGC
This 83-nucleotide small nucleolar RNA is filed under the name Lupinus angustifolius (narrow-leaved blue lupine). RNAcentral's name for it is "Small nucleolar RNA snoR14". It matches the Rfam family "Small nucleolar RNA snoR14". Lineage: Eukaryota; Viridiplantae; Streptophyta; Magnoliopsida; Fabales; Fabaceae. The record is from Rfam by way of RNAcentral.